GCAUCUAUGGGUUAGUGGUAUACUGCUCGCUUGCCAUUUCAUGCACUGACCACAAGUGCGCGGAAUCAACUUGCGGGCGACACGGGUUCGAUUCCCGUUGGAUGCA
Transfer RNA from Ceraceosorus bombacis, 106 nucleotides. It matches the Rfam family "tRNA". Rfam says of the family: Transfer RNA (tRNA) molecules are approximately 80 nucleotides in length. Lineage: Eukaryota; Fungi; Basidiomycota; Exobasidiomycetes; Ceraceosorales; Ceraceosoraceae. The record is from Rfam.